GACGAACGCUGGCGGCGUGCUUAACACAUGCAAGUCGAACGAUGAUGCCCAGCUUGCUGGGUGGAUUAGUGGCGAACGGGUGAGUAACACGUGAGUAACCUGCCCCUGACUCUGGGAUAAGCGUUGGAAACGACGUCUAAUACUGGAUAUGAUCACUGGCCGCAUGGUCUGGUGGUGGAAAGAUUUUUUGGUUGGGGAUGGACUCGCGGCCUAUCAGCUUGUUGGUGAGGUAAUGGCUCACCAAGGCGACGACGGGUAGCCGGCCUGAGAGGGUGACCGGCCACACUGGGACUGAGACACGGCCCAG
RNAcentral lists this ribosomal RNA (307 nucleotides) under uncultured bacterium. Its description in RNAcentral is "bacterial SSU rRNA". It matches the Rfam family "Bacterial small subunit ribosomal RNA", at positions 28 to 334 of the family's 1533-position model. The record is from RNAcentral.